AGAGUUUGAUCCUGGCUCAGGAUGAACGCUAGCGGCAGGCCUAAUACAUGCAAGUCGAACGGACAUUGGUUUUCGGAUCAAUGUUAGUGGCGCACGGGUGCGUAACGCGUACACAACAUACCUUUUACAGGGGGAUAGCGGUGGGAAACUGCCAGUAAUACCCCAUACCCUUUUGGUGUGGCAUCAUAUUAAAAGGAAAAUUACGGUGGUAAAAGAUUGGUGUGCGUCCGAUUAGCUAGUUGGCGGGGUAACGGCCCACCAAGGCGACGAUCGGUAGGGGUGUGAGAGCAUGACCCCCCACACGGGUACUGAGACACGGACCCGACUCCUACGGGAGGCAGCAGUAAGGAAUAUUGGACAAUGGACGGAAGUCUGAUCCAGCCAUGCCGCGUGAAGGAAGACUGCGCUCAGCGUUGUAAACUUCUUUGGAUGGGAAUAAUAAUGUCGACGAGAUCGGCACUUGAAGGUACCAUCAGAAUAAGCACCGGCUAACUCCGUGCCAGCAGCCGCGGUAAUACGGAGGGUGC
This 527-nucleotide ribosomal RNA is filed under the name uncultured bacterium. RNAcentral describes it as "bacterial SSU rRNA". It matches the Rfam family "Bacterial small subunit ribosomal RNA", at positions 8 to 535 of the family's 1533-position model. The record is from RNAcentral.